GAAUAUCUCAAACCGUUCUGGCACUUUUCCUCUUUAUUGGAACAAAAAGAAAAGCCAGUGUUCGUCUGUCAAGCAAGCAAGCCGUCUCCUCCGCUUUGAUCGAUGGUGUGACAACUUUCUAAAGUCCCGUGUGACAGACUUCCUUCAGAGAGCUGGAUACAACCUCCACAAAGGAUGGAGGACUCUCCUCACUUGUACAUCUCUGAAAUUGGCGACAAUGAAGUUAUGGAGGAAGGUGGGGAGGAGGAGGAGGAGGAGGAGGACGACGAAGACGACGACGUUCAUCAAGGGGAAACUGACAUGCAGCCAGACACGAUGACGUCACUGUUCCCUGAUCUUCAUGAACCUCCCAACCAGGAUACUGAGAGGGACUGGAACUCUUCUCCCUGCCAGCACUGCGAGAGACAUUUUACCAGCAAACAAGGCUUAGAGCGACACAUGCACAUCCAUGCGCUGGAGAAGAACCAGGCGCACGCAUGCAGCCAUCAGAGCAGCACGUCUUUUGGGUCAACUCCGGGUCGGCCGCAGCAGGAGAAGAGGAAACCUCUGGAUUCAGUCGGCUCAGUCAUGCAGCGUCAUACAUCCUCCUCCGCGGGCUCGCGUGCUUCCACUGCGUCAGACGGUGACCGCAAUGCUCAGCCAGACAAAUCGAGUACCGGAGGGGCGUCACGCUUGCAAGUACUGCGAAAAGAUAUUCACGACACAUACCAACAAGCGACGACAUGAGCGCAGGAUCCACGAGCAGAACCGGCAAGUCGCAGGUGUGGAAAAAACCCAGCUGGCCCAAGAGACGGAUGUUCAGAGGAUGUGCAGGCAUACAUAUGAGCCGAGUGUGUGUAAGCUCUGCAUAGUCACAUGUGUUGCCGUGGUCCACCGUGUCUGGGUUGAACAUGCUGUGCAUUCUGUGCUUGUCAAUACAUGAGCUCAUAUUUGGACAAGUGAAAUAAAAACUAAAUAAAAGUAAUGAGUUCAUCAGAA
Long non-coding RNA from Pseudoliparis swirei, 978 nucleotides. RefSeq lists it as uncharacterized. Lineage: Eukaryota; Metazoa; Chordata; Actinopteri; Perciformes; Liparidae. The transcript has 3 exons. The record is from RefSeq and is a predicted model, not a curated record.